RNAcentral lists this transfer RNA (82 nucleotides) under Blattella germanica (German cockroach). RNAcentral's name for it is "tRNA-Thr (GGT) (tRNA-Thr-GGT-11-1)". It matches the Rfam family "tRNA". From Rfam's summary of the family: Transfer RNA (tRNA) molecules are approximately 80 nucleotides in length. Their secondary structure includes four short double-helical elements and three loops (D, anti-codon, and T loops). The record is from RNAcentral. Lineage: Eukaryota; Metazoa; Arthropoda; Insecta; Blattodea; Blattellidae.
GACGAGGUUUCCAAGUGGUUAAGGCGUUGGACUGGUAAUCGAAUGUGCUCUGCACGCGUGGGUUCGAAUCCCAUCCUCGUUG